Molecule: ribosomal RNA, 201 nt
Filed under: uncultured Holophagae bacterium
Lineage: Bacteria; Pseudomonadati; Acidobacteriota; Holophagae
Description: partial 16S ribosomal RNA
Rfam family: Bacterial small subunit ribosomal RNA
Source: RNAcentral
CGUCAAGUCAUCAUGGCCUCUAUGUCCAGGGCUACACACGUACUACAAUGGUCGGUACAAAGGGCUGCAAGCCCGCGAGGGGGAGCCAAUCCCAAAAAGCCGGCCUCAGUUCGGAUUGCAGUCUGCAACUCGACUGCAUGAAGGUGGAAUCGCUAGUAAUCGCGCAUCAGCACGGCGCGGUCGAAUACGUUCCCGGGCCUU